GUCUCCUGUUUCUGUCUCUCCACAUUCAGCCCAACCUUUUCCUUCCUUCUUCCCUUCAAGCAGUUGUGUCCUACCACAUCUCUUAUUAGGAGGUCAGUACCUCUGCUACCUCUGACUUAACAGAUGAUAACUGAGAGAGGAUGGUUCCAAUGGCUCCAGCAACUUCCCUUUCUUUCAAUUGCAUGAGAAUCUAUGUCAGGACUUUAACUUCAGGCCUCUGUAAAUAAGGGCGAAGGAGGUAAAGAAUGCAAAGCUGCCAUCUACACGUAAAUUCCGGAUUCCGAAAUCUCGUACAGGUUCAAAGGAGCCUUGCAGUGGCCUGCGUGCAACAUUAAAAGAAGAGGUGAGACCCAGCAGGACAGCGGUUGGUGAACACCGCCUCCUCCCCCCCCGACUACAUCAUGACGCAGGAAGUCACAGCAUCAGCUAUGACUGGGUUGGAACUAUUGGAAGAUACUGUGGGCAGUUGUUUUCAAUUUGGAUCAUUGUGAAAAACUUUCUGGGUCAGGAUGUCCCAGGACUCUCAAGAAGUGGGUGGGGGCGCCAUGAAGUCCAUGGCAUUCCUUACGGUUCCCCUGGUCCCUGUGUGCCGUCUUCUUCAUUUGCAUUACCCCAGAGUCCGGGGGCCAUGGUCACUUGGGAGAAUGUGGCUUUAGAGCCACAUAAACUCCCAUCCUCAAAAAGAGCUGGGUACUGCAACAGGUUGGGUAACACCAGGCCAAACCAAGUUGAGACAAACCUGUCUAUACCGCAGGUCUCCUCAGAGCCUUGGGCAUGCGAUUCCCACCAGGACUCUCCCAGAGGAGGACAGCCAAGGCAGCUGCUUUUCCACCUGCUUCUGGCCUUCUCUCUCCCCACUCCCUGCCUCGCCUGCAAAUGGAGAAAACCUUCGGAACACAGGUUGGUAAAAGGCAGAGACAGGAAGAAAGACCUCACCUCACUGAAGCUGAAGUUCCCAAACAGCCACCUGAAAGUGAUGCCUUCUGGCCUGAGCAGCCCACUCUGGCACUGAUUCUAGAAAAGAAAGCCUUGAGAUUGUGUGCAGCUCUGCGAACAAGAACUUAUAAUUCUAUGUGUGAAAGCCUGCUGUCAAGUCCAGCAAAAACGCCAUGCCCUUGGUAUGUGCAGCUGCCGCCAACUUGGCUGGCACCCAGCGGGCACACGUCACCAUUCUACCAGCCUCUGAUAGCGAGGAGAGGAGGCUGGGAACCACAGGAGCAGCUCAGCUCCAUCCAGGGGAGCAAAUCAUGGGCGGCUCUAAAGUUCAGGUUCGGGAGUUUGUGGGCCUUGAGCAGAUUUCCGUUUGGUUCUCUCUCCGUGUUUUUGGAGGACACCAUGUCAUCAUAGUCAUGACUGAUGUCCUUAUGAGCUGUGUGGGAGCCCGUGAUGACAACGAUAAAAAGACUGAGGCAAUUACCCAGUUCAGCUAGGCUGAGCGCCUCUAUUAAUCUCAGCUCCACAAAACUGGCUUUCUCCUUGCAGUGGAGCUCAUCUGUUAACAAACGGCUGUAUAAUAGUAAUAAAAAAAAAAACCCCACUGAUGCAAAGCAGAGGAUGAUUCUGUCCUGAAGCCUAUACGUGCUCUCUGACAAUGAACAGCCCAGAUAAACUGUGACAGGUCACGAUUACCUCAAAGUGUCUAAAUAUGUCUGAGCCUUGUGGAAUAAAAUGCGUAAAUCUGAGUGGCCAUCAGGGCAGUGGAA
RNAcentral lists this long non-coding RNA (1703 nucleotides) under Sus scrofa (pig). RNAcentral describes it as "lncRNA (ENSSSCG00025049533.1, ENSSSCG00155007956.1)". The record is from RNAcentral. Lineage: Eukaryota; Metazoa; Chordata; Mammalia; Artiodactyla; Suidae.